Molecule: ribosomal RNA, 468 nt
Filed under: uncultured Planctomycetota bacterium
Lineage: Bacteria; Pseudomonadati; Planctomycetota
Description: bacterial SSU rRNA
Rfam family: Bacterial small subunit ribosomal RNA
Source: RNAcentral
AUGCCCGAAAGGGUGACGAAGCGACGCCGCGUGUGGGAAGAAGGCCUUCGGGUUGUAAACCACUGUCGGGAGUUAAGAAAUGUAGGGAUGUCAAUAGCAUUCUUGCUUGACUAAGGCUCGGAGGAAGCCACGCUAACUCUGUGCCAGCAGCCGCGGUAAUACAGAGGCGGCAAGCGUUGUUCGGAAUUAUUGGGCGUAAAGAGCACGUAGGCGGCCAUGUAAGUCGGUUGUGAACCUUCCGCUUAACGGAAGAAUGGCGGCCGAAACUGCAUAGCUUGAGUGCGGUAGGGGAGAGUGGAACUUCUGGUGGAGCGGUGAAAUGCGUAGAUAUCAGCAGGAACGCCGGCGGCGAAAGCGGCUCUCUGGCCCAUAACUGACGCUGAGUGUGGAAAGCUAGGGGAGCAAACGGGAUUAGAUACCCCGGUAGUCCUAGCCGUAAACGAUGGGGCCCUAAGUAAAGGGUUUUUA